AUGAUGAUGGCCCGGGUUUCCUCCGCCCUGUUUCUUGCCGUGGCGGCGCUUGCCCUCGCGGUGCCGGCGCUUGCCGGCGACCCCGACUACCUCCAGGACAUCUGCGUCGCCGACCUCAAAUCAGACCUGAAGGUGAACGGGUUCCCGUGCAAGGCGAACGCGACGGCGGACGACUUCUUCACCGGGGUGCUCGCCAAGCCCGGCGCCACCAACACCACGGCCGGCUCCGUCGUCACCGGCGCCAACGUGGAGAAGGUCCCGGGCCUCAACACCCUCGGCGUCUCCCUCUCCCGCAUCGACUACGCCCCCGGCGGGCUCAACCCGCCGCACACCCACCCGCGCGCCACCGAGGUCGUCUUCGUCCUCUACGGUGAGCUCGACGUCGGCUUCAUCACCACCGCAAACAAGCUCUUCGCCAAGACCAUCUCCCAGGGCGACGUCUUCGCCUUCCCGCGCGGCCUCGUGCACUUCCAGAAGAACAAUGCUGACAAGCCCGCCGCUGUCAUCUCGGCCUUCAACAGCCAGCUCCCCGGUACACAGUCCAUCGCCAUGGCGCUCUUCGGGGCCUCCCCAGAGGUACCCGACGACGUGCUCGCCAAGGCCUUCCAGAUCGGCACUGUGGAGGUUGACAAGAUCAAGGCCAAGUUUGCGCCAAAGAAGUGA
RNAcentral lists this ribosomal RNA (663 nucleotides) under Triticum aestivum (bread wheat). Its description in RNAcentral is "partial small subunit ribosomal RNA". Lineage: Eukaryota; Viridiplantae; Streptophyta; Magnoliopsida; Poales; Poaceae. The record is from RNAcentral.